GCUUCAGUAGCUCAGUGGUAGAGCGUAUGCCUUGUAAGCAUAAGGUCGGGAGUUCAAUCCUCCCCUGAAGCU
Molecule: transfer RNA, 72 nt
Filed under: uncultured archaeon
Lineage: Archaea
Description: tRNA-Thr(tgt)
Rfam family: tRNA
About the family: Transfer RNA (tRNA) molecules are approximately 80 nucleotides in length. Their secondary structure includes four short double-helical elements and three loops (D, anti-codon, and T loops).
Source: RNAcentral